UGAAUACGAGAUGCUACGGCGUCGAAGCAGUCUAUGUCAUACUUCCAAGAAAAGCUUGCACUGUCAUAAACAAAUAAUGCCUGUACCAUAACCGACACAGGUGGGUAGGUAGAGUAUACUAAGGGGCGCGAGAUAACACUCUCUAAGGAACUCGGCAAAAUGACUCCGUAACUUCGGGAGAAGGAGUGCCUUAUUUAUAAGGUUGCAAUAACAAGAUCCAAGCAACUGUUUACCAAAAACACAGGUCUCCGCUAAGUCGUAAGACGAUGUAUGGGGGCUGACGCCUGCCCAGUGCCAGAAGGUUAAAGAAGUUGGUUAGCAUCCGCGAAGCUGAUAACUGAAGCCCUGGUGAACGGCGGCCGUAACUAUAACGGUCCUAAGGUAGCGAAAUUCCUUGUCGGGUAAGUUCCGACCCGCACGAAAGGCGUAAUGAUUUGGAUACUGUCUCGGAGAGGGGCUCGGUGAAAUAGACUUGUCUGUGAAGAUGCGGACUACCUGCACCAGGACAGAAAGACCCUAUGAAGCUUUACUGUAACCUGAAAUUGAAAUUGGACUUUACUUGCGCAGUAUAGGUGGGAGGCGUUGAGAAUAUUCUUGCGGGAUUAUUGGAGCCAUCAGUGAGAUACCACUCUUGUAAUGUUAGAUUUCUAACUUUGUAUCAUUAUCUGGUCAAAGAACAGUUUCAGGCGGGCAGUUUGACUGGGGCGGUCGCCUCCUAAACGGUAACGGAGGCGCACAAAGGUUUCCUCUGAACGGGUAGAAAUCGUAUCUAGAGUGUAAAGGCAUAAGGAAGCUUGACUGUGAGACCUACAAGUCGAGCAGGGACGAAAGUCGGUCUUAGUGAUCUGACGGUGCUGAGUGGAAAGGCCGUCACUCAACGGAUAAAAGUUACUCUAGGAUAACAGGCUGAUCUCCCCCAAGAGUUCACAUCGACGGGGAGGUUUGGCACCUCGAUGUCGGCUCAUCGCAUCCUGGGGCGGUAGUACGUCCCAAGGGUUGGGCUGUUCGCCCAUGAAAGCGGUACGCGAGCUGGGUUCAGACCGUCGUGAGACAGUUCGGUCCAUAUCCGGUGUAGGCGUUAGAAUAUUGAGAGGAGCCUUCUUUAGUACGAGAGGACCGAGAAGGACAUACCUCUGGUGUACCAGUUAUCGUGCCAACGGUAAACGCUGGGUAGCUAUGUGUGGAGUGGAUAACCGCUGAAAGCAUCUAAGUGGGAAGCCCACCUCAAGAUAAGUAUUCUCAU
Molecule: ribosomal RNA, 1243 nt
Filed under: metagenome
Description: bacterial LSU rRNA
Rfam family: Bacterial large subunit ribosomal RNA
Source: RNAcentral